GACAGAGGUGCCGAGCGUUAGGCGGAAUCACUGGGCUUAAAGCGUGUGUAGGCGGGUCGUUAAGUGUCUUGUGAAAUCCCACCGCUCAACGGUGGGAACUGCUGGGCAUACUGGCGAUCUUGAGCCACCUAGGGGCAGACGGAACAAGCGGUGGAGCGGUGAAAUGCGUAGAUAUCGCUUGGAACGCCGACGGUGAAAACAGUCUGCUGGGGUGUGCUGACGCUGAGACACGAAAGCCAGGGGAGCGAACGGG
Molecule: ribosomal RNA, 253 nt
Filed under: uncultured bacterium
Lineage: Bacteria
Description: partial 16S ribosomal RNA
Rfam family: Bacterial small subunit ribosomal RNA
Source: RNAcentral